GAAGAACCAGGACAUGUAACAAUAUUGUCUGUGUUAUUUGCACCACUCUCCUUAACUUGCUGCCUUGUACGAGUCCAACGUCUUCGACGGACAAUAUUGUGAGCUGACUUUGUGCUACACUUGGGAGAAUUUGGCGGCCACCUCAAGGUUUGAAAAUCAGGCCCAUAGGCCCAUCCAUCAACGUCAACAAACUGAGAUUUG
This 201-nucleotide unclassified non-coding RNA is filed under the name Hevea brasiliensis (rubber tree). Lineage: Eukaryota; Viridiplantae; Streptophyta; Magnoliopsida; Malpighiales; Euphorbiaceae. The record is from RNAcentral.